CUCGGGAAUCACCUAGCGACCAGCGCCGAGAAGAGCCCACGCGGGAUUUCGGCCAGAGGAAGGGGAGAGCCCAGAGGAUGACGGGAACUAGGGGCCGAGGAGAGGGGGGCGGAGAGAGUCCCCAAAUGGUAGUAUGCAGUGAAAUUCCUUAAGUAGAAUGAAAGUAAGGCCUGGAGUGAGCUUCUACUAAGGAUGUUCUGUCGGUCUGAAAUUUUGUUCCCGUUUCCUAUAAUCUUAUCUUGAGAAGCUCACAGGACGGACUCCUUAUAUAGACAACUUUGGCUUCUUGGCAAGGCAACUUUACUCCUGCACCAACUUCCCCUCCUCCUGUUUUCUGGUGAAUUUAUCUACUCUAAGCCUGCAGUAUAAAAGGCACUAUAACAAGAGCAAGAAAAGAGGAAAAGAAAAACUAAAACAAUAAAGAGCACAAUUACUAGUGUGGGAAUCAGGAGGAAAAUUCUCUUUAGCAACAUGCCCAAAUGUUAAGUUGUGUUAGGACUGUAACUUAUUUUGUGUAAGUUUAUCACUUUGAAUUUGUUGAGCAGAGACUUAAAUGCAGUGACUAGGGCAGUCAGGAGUUAUUUGUGACAUCACAGAAGUUAUCGGUUAUAUGGCUAUAAAGGUCUUGUCACAGUUUGGCUGAGGAAGCCAUACUAAGUCCUGAGAGCCCUAGGGUGCUCAACUACCCAUCUCGGCUUUCCUCAGAUGAUCUGGGUUUAGAAUGUCCUGCUAUAGGGCCAAACUUCUCAAACUGUUUCCAAGCUCAAACCUUGAGAUCCGUCCCAGGCGAUUAACUAACCAAGACUCAGCUCAAGUGUCAUCCCCAUAGUGAAGUCCUUCCUAAUCUCUCUAUCAUUGGUUCAGUUAGUUUGUAUUAUUAGUUUGUAUAAUGUGUCUAAAUCUGGAGACUAUAGUGAAGCAUUAUUCUCCUAAACACUUGGAAAUGAGGCUAGUAAGUACGAAUGCCCCCUGCCUGCUCAACAAAUCAUGGAUAGGAUGAAUCACCUCAAAAGAGAAAGAAUGGUUCCCAUGCUGAGUGUGAAGUCUCAGGACAAAAACCAUGAAAUGGUUCCCCACCCCACCCCACCCCCACCGAUAACUGCCUCUGAACUGUGCAGUGGAGAAAUCCCGUUUUCCACGGAGGAUGUGUUGCCACAGUCCAAAACUUGCUAGCCACUUUCAGCUACUAAAACAGUUUCAUUUUGGUAUUUAAGAUUUUUAUUCUGACAUCUAGUGUUAAGCACGUUUUAAAUGUCAGUUUCAAACUGGAAUCAAAUCUUCCUCCUCCUCUUCCCCCCCCACCCCCCAGCCCUGGCAGCCUAGAUCUAUCCCUACCUCUGAUGUCUUGGGAAGUGGGAAUGAGUUGGUGUUUUCCUAUUUACAUUCAUCCUGGCUUCCUUCCACGUGCCAGGUCCUUGUGUUAGGAUGAGCAGGGGCUGGGGAGGGAGAGGGCAAAUGUCUCUAACUGGGCCCAGUUGCAGUCUACACAGUUGGUCUCAAGUGCUGUUCUUGCUCUUCGUGGGCUCCGUGAGGUUGGUGACUCUGACGUGCCCCCUAACGAGAGGCUUUCUUCAAGGCAUACUCCAAGGCAGUAACAAUCUUUUGUGAGAGACGGUGGGAAUAGAGAUUAGGCGCGUGGGCUCAGGAGCCAACUGCCUGGGGUCAAAUAUUCUGCCACUUAAUAGCUGUAUGAUCUUGAGCAAAUUCUUUACCUUCUCUGUGCCUCAAUUUAUUUACAUGUAGGGUGAGGAUAAUAAAGUACAGAAGGUCCCCUACCUACGAUGGUUCAACUUAUGAUUUUUCAAUUUUACAAUGGUAUGAAAGCAAUAUGAUUUCAGGAGAAACCAUACCUGGAAUUUUGAAUUUGAAUCUUUUCCUGGGUUAGCCAUAUGCAGGAUGGUCCUCUCUCAUGAUGCUGGGCAGUGGCAGGGAGCCACAGCUCUCGGUCAGCCACAAAGUCAUGAGGAUCAACAAUCAAUAUACUUACAACCAUUCUGUCCCCAUUCAACCAUCCUGUUUUUCACUUUCAGUACAAUAGUCAGUAAAUCACAAGAGAUAUCCAAUGCUUUGUUAUCAAAUAGGCUUUGUGUUACAUAAUUUGCCCAGCUGUAGGCUGAUAUAAAUGUAGACUUAUACGUGUUUAAGGUAGGCUAGUCUAAGCAAUGAUGUUUGACGGGUUAGGUGUGUUAAAUGCAUUUUCAACCUAGGAUAUUUUCAACUUACGGUGGGUUUGUUGGGAUGUAACCCUAUCAUAAGUCAAGAGAGACCUGUAGCGCCUAUCCUGUAGGGUUGUUGUGAGGCUUAGAUGAGUGAAUAACAUGUAAAGUGCUUAGAAAGUACCUGGAACAUGGUAAGGACCCAAUAAAUGUUAGCUGUCAUUAUCAUUUGACCAAUGGACCUCCAAUUGGUGACAAUGAUACCAUAUCACUCUGAUACUUGGGCAUCUACUUGCCUUGUUGUGAUGAUCCCUACAUGAUGAAAGAGUGUCACCACUGACCCUGUGUCAUCUUCACAAGCAGCUCUAGGACUGGUGGGCACAUAUGGGACCUAUCCAUCUUCUGUACACUGGCACAGUGCUGUCCUAUCUAGUUGGUUCUUUUCAAUUCCCUGUUCUGUGAGCUCAGGUAGCAUAGAGACAAAUUAGCCAACUCCUGGCUAGGCAGCCAUCCAAUAGGAAGCAAAAUGCCAGCCUCCCCUUCAGUCAGACACGUCUAGUCUUUAGUGAUUCUCUUGGAAGCCCCCUCCCUUGGAAAUAGCACCUCAGUUCACAGAAAAAUAAUGCUGGUCACAGGAGCCUAGGGUUCCCAUAAAGGCAAUUUCUCAUUGCAAACGAGUGCACUGCCAUUCUGACUUUAUAUAGUAUACUGGGUUUCUGAGCUUGGCUAAUUUACUGGUACAGCCAUAAAAGAAGAGAAAUAGAUUCCUUCUCUGGAUGCUGACCAAAUCGUUUUUUCAGGCUGUAAAGCUUAAUAGCAGAGCUUGAACUGAAGCAUGUUAAUGUCACCCAGUUAGCCUUCUUAGGAGCAGCUGGCCACCUUUGUCCCAGAAGUACCCUUUUGAGUUUCUUUUAGACAACUCUGUCCUCUGGGCCUCUGUCUUAACCUACCCCUGUCAUAACGUCAACACAUUAUUGCAUUUUAUCUAUUCAUUUCUGUUUCCUACUACUUAAUAUCAAAGCCCCUUAAGGGCAGGGGCUAGGCCUUUAGUUAUCUUUGUAUGUCUAGUGCCUAAUGUUGACUAACAUUUGUAGGUCUUCAAUGAAUAUGUCUAAAAAUUUUGCUGAGUGUUUAGCAUGUGAAAGGUGUAGUGCUAAGAACUAAGGGUGCUGUAAGAUCUGGUGAUUGUCAAUGAGGAAAAUACGCUCUGGUUGAGCCAGCAGGAUCCAUCUUGAGUUGAGGAUUCUUCUGCUGUACAACUAUAACACUUGGUAUAAAUCUCUGCUUAGGACUCACCAAACUGUAAUGUCAACACGUAGCUUUCUCUAAUAGUUUCUGAGCCUUUGGAAGGGAAGGUCUGAGCUCCCCCUUUGCAUUCUGAUUGUCUAGUCCAGUGCCUAAUGUUCACAAGGCAGGCGCUCUACAGGGGGUAUUAAAUAGCUAACUAGAAUAAAGGUUCAGAUAACAGUGGGUGUGCUGAGGUCAUAGGGUAAGUUUUUCAGAUGAAGUGGACUCAAGUUUAAGGGAACUUACAAAGGGAAAGAAAUAAGGCUGAUAUGUUAGAUAAGGGACAAUAUGAGAACACAGAUCAGAAUGUACAGAGCAUCUUCUGGAGAGAUUUGGGUAAAAAUAUUCAGCAAGUAAUUGGAAAACAUAGGCCUGAUGGGCAUGAGGGAUAUCAGUUUCCAAGAUGUAUUCUUGGGAAAAUUGGAAUUGGUCUGGCAAAGAGGGUUGGUUUUCAGUGCGAUCCUUGGGACCUGAGCAGCAUUAGCAUCAUGUGAGAAUUUGUGAGAAAUGCCAAUCCUCACACCUGAAUCAGAAACUCUGGGGUGGUGCAAUCUGUGCUCUAACAAGCCGUCCAGAUGACCCUGAUGCACCCUGAAGUUUGAGAAAAACUAGCAUAGGGGGUUAAGAGUGUGGACUCUGGAACCAGAAUACUUAGCCAUAUGGCUGUGGGUAAGUUAUUAAUCUCUCUGGGUCUCAGUUUCCUUAUAGAAUGGAGAUAAUAAAUGGCACCUAUGUUCUAAGGUUGAUGUAAGGAUUGACAGUUCAUACAUAAAGUGUUCUAUCAUAGCAAGUGAUCUGAUUCUGUUGUUUUUAGUGAGAAUCUUUGGAGCACACAUUCCCACACAGAGCCUAGGGUGAGAGACCUUGCUACUUGAAAUGUGUUCCCCAAUGCAGCAGCCACAGCCACUGCAGCAUCACCUGGGAACCUAUUAGAAAUGCAGAAUCUCAGGCCCUCCCCACUCCUAUUGUAUCAGAAUCUGCAUUUUACAAAUAGGUAUUUGAAUAGCAAAGCAGUAUUCUACAACUCAGCUCUAGACCUACUAAAUAAGAAUCUCCUGGGACUGGAAACUACAUAUUUCCAUGAUUUCUACCAUUGAUUCUGAUGUUUACCAAGGAUUUAGCAACCCCAGUGCACUUAGGACAGCUGAUUUCCAUCAUUUGAAAAAACUCAAAGCACCUGUGAUGCUACACUUGGCAAGCACCAGAUGUACAAAAGACAGUAUUUGUUCUAAGAAAAGUAGGUUUGUGUGGAAGAAUGCUAGGUAAGGCUAAAAACUAGCUAAGAAAUUAAUCUUGUGUUCUGUAUGACUAUAGUUCUUUCACAUAAUUUUUAUGUUAGUACAUUUCAUAUGAGUUUAUUGAAUGAAUCUUCUUUAUCCAGCCAGAAUUGACCAGUUGGGCCUUCUACAACAUAUUUUAAUGAGACAGUUUUGGGUAACCAUAUUUCAACGUAGCAAAAGCCAACAUCACUAAAAGCAUGUCUUGGUAAAACUCUGCUAUUAAAUCCGCAUUGAGUUAAGCAAGAGGCCAGCCAUCUUCAUGGAGCUGAAACGCAGGGCUGAGAUGACAAAGUAAUUAUAAAUCUGGGAACAAAAAUGUUAUUAAACAAAUAAACCUCUCAGAAGUCUAAAAACUCUAAAACUUGUCGAGUCUAAAACUUGACAGUAUAUCCAGAAGAGAGUUUAUAAAUUAGGUUGCUCAUGAAAUCACCAUAUCACUUAUCAAACACCAUUAUGUGUGGUGCACUGGGUAUAUUUUUGGGGGUACCAAAGAAUAUAAGGCAAAUACUUUUCUUUUAUUACCCCACGCUGAAAUAUUUUCUCCCCUCUCUAAACAGUGACAAUCAUGUACUACACAAUUCUUUGACAGUUAUGUCCUAGAACCUUGUGAUAUUUUCUCUUAAAUUCUUGAAUUGUUACUCAAUAUUUUGUAACUUUUAAUAUCUAUCACCUAUCAUUUAUCUCCCCACUAGAAUAAUACAGUUGUUCCCCAAAAGUAGGAAGGUGGCAAUCUGUGUAAGGACCAGAUUAUUUCAAGCUCACCCUUACUUUCAGGAGGCAGCUCUCUGUAGACCCAUAAGUGGGAAGUAGUUUCACAAGUCCUCAUCUUUGACAGAAUAUUCUUUUUUUUCUUUUGGCCCCACUGGAUUGCCAAAAGUCUACCUCAGCCUUUUAGCUGCCUCUUGUAGAUCACUGUAUGCUCUGAAGCAGAAGUAGCCCUGGCAUAAAGGCAAGAGAAAAAAAGUGCAUCGAACAGGUAGCACAUAACUAAUACUAUCUGAAUGAGAAAAUAUCACAUUAAAUAUAAAAGGACUAAAUAUUUCAGGUAAAACUCAAAGAUAAUCAGACUAGACUAAAGCCUGAACCCAAACCAUAUGAUUUUUAGAGACAUGCAUCUAAAACUAAAGGCUACACAAAGGCUGAAAGUAAAGGGGUGGGAAAAGUUACGUCAUGCAAGUGUUAACCAAAAGAAAGCCACUGUAGCAAUAUUAAGAAUAGAAAACAGAAACUUUAAGGCAAAAAUCUUCACUACGCAGAGUGUUACUUCAUAAUGUUAAAAUAUUCAAUUAACCAAAAAGACACAACGAUUCUAGAUUUGCACAUGCACCUAAAACAUUAUCUUAAAAUAUGGAAAGCAAAAUUAACAAAAUUACAAGGAAAAAAUAGACAAAUCCACAAUCAAACGGGGAGAUUUUCACAUGCCUUUCUCAAUAGUAGAUAUGGAACAAAAAAAAAUCAGUAAGGAUAUAGAAUGUUGGACAACAUGAUUAAUAAGCUUGACACAAAUAGAGCACUUAAGUCAAGACCUUGUUAGGUCAUUUCCUUGGUCCUAUGGAAGAACACGUAUUUAGGGUCAGGAGAUUUUUAAAAAUCCACUCUUCUAUUUGGAGCACACGUGGAAGCAAGGGUAUGAAAAAACCCUAUAAUACAGAUCCGUUUCUACAACAGACUCUUUAAAUUUAUAAUCUGACUAUGCACGUUGUAAAAUUAAAUUCCGUCCAUUCCUAAUCCUAUUAGUUUGGCACCAAUACCAGACUGUAUUCUUCUCAUUAUUUAAUUUUGUGAAUGGGCUUUGAUGACAAUUACCUUGUUGUCUUUUUUUUUUUCAUAGUUAACAUACAGUAGUAUAUUGAUUUCAGAUGUACAAUAUAGCAAUUCAACAAUUCUAUUCAACACCUUGUGCUCAUUUCACAGUAAGUGUACUCUUAGUCCCCUUCAACUGUUUCACCUACACUCCUAGCCACCUCCCCUCUGGUAACCAUUAAAACUGAUUGCCCUUCUUGUUAGGACGUAGAAGUAAAAAGUACUAAUUAUUUUUUAAGUUGCAGUAACUUGGCUAAUUCUAUCCAAUCUUAUGGGCAAGAUUUAGAGGCCUGUUCAGGAAUUCUGGGCUCACAAUUUAAAUCUUUAUGAAAAGAACCUCAUAUAUGCCAACAGUGUUACAUACAUAUGGAAAAUUACUCUGAAAAAAAUCUUUGGAUUUAAAUGUAAUUGUCAGUGCAUUGCAAAUAGUAAGUAUUCUACAAACAAAGGGUAUAUAUUAAAUGGCCAUUUCUACUAUAAAAGGUACUACCUUUGGGGAACCAGUACUCCCAUCUUAGGAAGAAGAGGGUGGUGUAUGACAAGAUGGGGAAUGAGGGAGGAUGGGGGAAGAUUUGAUAAUUUUUUUGGAAGGAGAAUUUUUUAAAUCCCUCUUUCAACCUUUUCUAUACAUAUUUGAUCUGCGUCCAUAUCAGAGCAAUUUUCACUAUUUUAUUAUAACAUUGCCUGUAAUAAGAAUUACUUUAAAAAUAUGAAGUGGCUUUUCUUUUUUAAAGAGUGAAACCAAGACUCAAUCUGAAAUAUACAUUUUGCUAUACCACCAUCUUUGUUAAAACAGAUACAACUCUUAUUUGUAAUCAAUAUAGUACAUAAAAAUACACAAGGCAAAGACAUUUGGAGGAAUUCCAUUUAUUGUGGAUGCAUUUUCACAAUAUAUAUUUAUUGCAGCGAUCAAUUAUCAGUGAAAAAUAUCAAGUGUUUAUAAAAUUUUUAGGAAUGGCAGAUUCACAGAACAUGCUAGUCACUUGCAGUCUUACUUCUUAAAGAUAACAAAGAGAACUGUAAUCAAACAAGUAAACAAGGAAUUUAUUUUUCAAAAGGUUAAAUCCAAACUGAACAAAGUUCUACCCUAAAACUUAUUCCAUCCAGUAUUGGAAUAAAAGUCAGGAUCGAUAUAUUCUCUUCUCAACUUUAGACUUUCUAGAAAAAAUAUAUAAUAGUGAUCAAGAGAAGCUCUUAUUCAAAAGUACAACAAAGCAAUGUUACCUCACCAUCGGCCUUAAUUCAAACUUUGAUCCAUUUCACUCCAAUUAUGGGAGUUGGUGCUAAAUUAGGCACUGCAUGUGAAUUCUAGUUCAUUUUAUCAUAGACUCAUGUCUACUCUGUCAUAGGGGCAUGACCUGUGCAAUCCUUGUGGCUUUCCUUCCUUUGGCCCAGGUGUGCUACAGCUACAGGAUUCAACAGCUCUUUGCUGGUUUAUGAGGAAAAUAGACUUUGAAAGGCAGUGGUCACUUCUCAUGCCAGCCUUGCCCUGGCAAGUUCUUCCAGGGCAAUACCAUAGAUUAGAAAAGAGGCAUUUGCGAGGCUCCCUCAUUGUGGCAGGAAUUGAGACUAAGACAAUUUUGGUUAAGUCAAAUGAGGUAUAAGUUUAUAGAAUUACACUGUAUGUAUAUCUCUACGCUAGAACGUAUUGCCAAGACACUGGAGUACUCUUUUGUCAUCCACUGUGAAGAAUAGAUGAACACUUAUAAGCUAAAAUAAGAUCUGAUAUCUAGAUUGUGUGUGUAAAAUGUAAAAAUGACAAGUCAAUAGACUUGGGGGUAAAAGGUAAAACUAAUAAAAGGUACAUAGAGUUUUUCAAAAUUCAACACGUUAUCAACUUAUGACAAGUACCAAUGACUAAAAAAAAUAGAAAAGUUUAAUUUAAAAGGCAUUUCAGUCCGUUAAGAAUGGAAGUACUGUCAUGACUCCUAAAUAUUGGCUCUUGCUUACUUUUCUUCUCUGCUUCCAGACAUUAGCCAAUGUUGGUCAUAGUAUAUCCAUAUGUAGAAUUCCAAUCUGUACAAUUUGCAACUAAAAUUCUUGUCUUUAAAUUUUAGAGAAGGGAGAGACCUCAUUUGUCAUCUAAGCCAACCUACUGUGGACUUGAUAUUAAGAAUAGAAUACAGUUCUGAGCAAGCUUUGAGUUUGACCCAGAUGGUAGAUUUAGUACAAUUCACACUGGACUUCAAGAUUGCUUUUAAUUAUAAACUAAAUACUAUGUUUUAUAGAAAAUGCCAACUCAUUUUGACACUUCUAAUCUCUCUUUUCUUCUUACAGGUUAGCGGGCACUGGAAACAUAUCAAUACCUAUUCUGCCAUGUCUCUAUUGGCAAAUAUGAAAUAUUAAUAUAAUAUUGUGAUCUUUAGUUUUUAAAAAGCUGUGAUAUUGGCUAGUUACAAGGACAUACUGCUAAAUAUAAUAGUCUAGCACAUAAAAAAGCUUUCUACCAUUAGUGUGUUUGUAUAUGUGUAUGCACAUACAUACAUGAUCAGGUCAUCUAAAAUGUGGUUCGCUAUCACUACCAAAGAAAUCCACAAAGCAACCAACCUAAAGAAUCAGUACCAAUGUCAGCUAACAUCAUAAACCAAUUUAGAUAUUCAUCAGCAUGAAAAAAGUAAUACCUUAACAGUACAUCUUUUUUUUUUUUUUAAAGACAUUUUUUAAAGAUUAUUGUAGUAUCUCAAAUCUGAAACGGGUUACUUUCAGAAAGUGUUACAAUUGCCCACUGAGAUAAUUUCUUCCAUGCUUUAUUCUAAAGUGCAGAAAUAACAUGACUUCUGUAUUUAAAAUAA
This is a long non-coding RNA of Felis catus (domestic cat), 9318 nucleotides long. RefSeq lists it as uncharacterized. Lineage: Eukaryota; Metazoa; Chordata; Mammalia; Carnivora; Felidae. The record is from RefSeq and is a predicted model, not a curated record. The transcript is spliced from 2 exons.